ACUACGUGCCAGCAGCCGCGGUAAUACGUAGGGCGCAAGCGUUGUCCGGGAAUUAUUGGGCGUAAAGAGCUCGUAGGCGGUUUGUCGCGUCUGCUGUGAAAGCCCGGGGCUCAACCCCGGGUCUGCAGUGGGUACGGGCAGACUAGAGUGCAGUAGGGGAGACUGGAAUUCCUGGUGUAGCGGUGAAAUGCGCAGAUAUCAGGAGGAACACCGAUGGCGAAGGCAGGUCUCUGGGCUGUUACUGACGCUGAGGAGCGAAAGCAUGGGGAGCGAACAGGAUUAGAUACCCUGGUAGUCCAUGCCGUAAACGUUGGGCACUAGGUGUGGGGGACAUUCCACGUUUUCCGCGCCGUAGCUAACGCAUUAAGUGCCCCGCCUGGGGAGUACGGCCGCAAGGCUAAAACUCAAAGGAAUUGACGGGGGCCCGCACAAGCGGCGGAGCAUGCGGAUUAAUUCGAUGCAACGCGAAGAACCUUACCAAGGCUUGACAUUCACCGGACCGCCCCAGAGAUGGGGUUUCCCUUCGGGGCUGGUGGACAGGUGGUGCAUGGUUGUCGUCAGCUCGUGUCGUGAGAUGUUGGGUUAAGUCCCGCAACGAGCGCAACCCUCGUUCUAUGUUGCCAGCACGUGAUGGUGGGGACUCAUAGGAGACUGCCGGGGUCAACUCGGAGGAAGGUGGGGAUGACGUCAAAUCAUCAUGCCCCUUAUGUCUUGGGCUUCACGCAUGCUACAAUGGCCGGUACAAAGGGUUGCGAUACUGUGAGGUGGAGCUAAUCCCAAAAAGCCGGUCUCAGUUCGGAUUGAGGUCUGCAACUCGACCUCAUGAAGUCGGAGUCGCUAGUAAUCGCAGAUCAGCAACGCUGCGGUGAAUACGUUCCCGGGCCUUGUACACACCGCCCGUCAAGUCACGAAAGUUGGUAACACCCGAAGCCGGUGGCCUAACCCC
This 946-nucleotide ribosomal RNA is filed under the name Kocuria sp. WLSH-53. RNAcentral describes it as "bacterial SSU rRNA". It matches the Rfam family "Bacterial small subunit ribosomal RNA", at positions 500 to 1442 of the family's 1533-position model. Lineage: Bacteria; Bacillati; Actinomycetota; Actinomycetes; Micrococcales; Micrococcaceae. The record is from RNAcentral.